Molecule: long non-coding RNA, 496 nt
Filed under: Brassica napus (rape)
Lineage: Eukaryota; Viridiplantae; Streptophyta; Magnoliopsida; Brassicales; Brassicaceae
Description: long non-coding RNA (BNAP_LNC018998)
Source: RNAcentral
UAGGGUUUAGGGUUUAGAGUUUAGGGUUUAGGGUUUACGGUUUAGGGUUUAGGGUUUACAGUUUAGGGUUUAGGGUUUAGAGUUGAGAAUUGAGGUUUUGGGGAUAAGAUUUCAAAUUUUGAAAAAUAAAAAAAAUUAAAAUUUUCAAAGGAUAAACUUAUAAAGGUGCUAUUUUGGUCAUUUUACUUUUUGAGUGCUAUUUUUGUUAUAUAAACUUAGAAAUGUGCUAUUUUGGAGAUUUGCCCUAUUUUUAUAUAUGUGAUAUUUAUAAAACUUUUAUGAAUUUAAGUUAAUUUGAUAAAUAUAAAGACUAUAAUAUAAAAUACAAAUAUUUUUGAAGUUAAAUUUGAAAUUUUGAUUUUGGAAACUGACAAUUUUAAACUUCAAAUAUAAAGUUUCGCAAAUUUCAAAAUAUAGUGUAUUUUUGGAGAUUUUCUUAUAAGAUGGUGGUGGCAUAUUGGUAACACAAAAAGAUUGGUUUUCCUGUGCUCUGGAU